UUAGUGGCGGACGGGUGAGUAACGUGUGGGCAACCUGCCCUGUACUGGGGAAUAAUCAUUGGAAACGAUGACUAAUACCGCAUGUGGUCCUCGGAAGGCAUCUUCUGAGGAAGAAAGGAUUUAUUCGGUACAGGAUGGGCCCGCAUCUGAUUAGCUAGUUGGUGAGAUAACAGCCCACCAAGGCGACGAUCAGUAGCCGACCUGAGAGGGUGAUCGGCCACAUUGGGACUGAGACACGGCCCAAACUCCUACGGGAGGCAGCAGUGGGGAAUAUUGCACAAUGGGCGAAAGCCUGAUGCAGCAACGCCGCGUGAAGGAUGAAGGGUUUCGGCUCGUAAACUUCUAUCAAUAGGGAAGAAACAAAUGACGGUACCUAAAUAAGAAGCCCCGGCUAACUACGUGCCACCAGCCGCGGUAAUACGUAGGGGGCAAGCGUUAUCCGGAAUUACUGGGUGUAAAGGGAGCAUAGGCGGCAUGGUAAGCCAGAUGUGAAAGCCUUGGGCUUAACCCGAGGAUUGCAUUUGGAACUAUCAAGCUAGAGUACAGGAGAGGAAAGCGGAAUUCCUAGUGUAGCGGUGAAAUGCGU
Molecule: ribosomal RNA, 586 nt
Filed under: uncultured bacterium
Lineage: Bacteria
Description: bacterial SSU rRNA
Rfam family: Bacterial small subunit ribosomal RNA
Source: RNAcentral